This 478-nucleotide ribosomal RNA is filed under the name uncultured bacterium. RNAcentral's name for it is "partial 16S ribosomal RNA". It matches the Rfam family "Bacterial small subunit ribosomal RNA", at positions 28 to 523 of the family's 1533-position model. The record is from RNAcentral.
GACGAACGCUGGCGGCGUGCUUAACACAUGCAAGUCGAACGGUAAGGCCCUUCGGGGUACACGAGUGGCGAACGGGUGAGUAACACGUGGGUGAUCUGCCCUGCACUUCGGGAUAAGCCUGGGAAACUGGGUCUAAUACCGGAUAGGACCCUGGGAUGCAUGUCCUGGGGUGGAAAGCUUUUGCGGUGUGGGAUGGGCCCGCGGCCUAUCAGCUUGUUGGUGGGGUGAUGGCCUACCAAGGCGACGACGGGUAGCCGGCCUGAGAGGGUGACCGGCCACACUGGGACUGAGAUACGGCCCAGACUCCUACGGGAGGCAGCAGUGGGGAAUAUUGCACAAUGGGCGCAAGCCUGAUGCAGCGACGCCGCGUGAGGGAUGACGGCCUUCGGGUUGUAAACCUCUUUCAGCACCGACGAAGCGCAAGUGACGGUAGGUGCAGAAGAAGGACCGGCCAACUACGUGCCAGCCGCCGCAGUAA